Molecule: non-coding RNA, 23 nt
Filed under: Arabidopsis thaliana (thale cress)
Lineage: Eukaryota; Viridiplantae; Streptophyta; Magnoliopsida; Brassicales; Brassicaceae
Source: RNAcentral
GAGAAUGUCGGCUAUUCGGUUGA